CCUACGGGGGGCUGCAGUGGGGAAUUUUGCGCAAUGGGGGAAACCCUGACGCAGCAACGCCGCGUGAGUGAUGAAGGCCUUCGGGUCGUAAAGCUCUGUCAGGGGGGAAGAAAUGUAGGGGUGCUAAUAUCGCCUUUACUUGACGGUACCCUCAAAGGAAGCACCGGCUAACUCCGUGCCAGCAGCCGCGGUAAUACGGAGGGUGCGAUCGUUGUUCGGGAUUAUUGGGCGUAAAGCGUGUGUAGGCGGUGAAAGCCCCGGGCUCAAACCGGGAAGUGCAUUGGAAACUGUCAGACUUGAAUACGGGAGAGGGUAGUGGAAUUCCUAGUGUAGGAGUGAAAUCCGUAGAUAUUAGGAGGAACACCGGUGGCGAAGGCGGCUACCUGGACCGAUAUUGACGCUGAGACGCGAAAGCGUGGGGAGCAAACAGGAUUAGAUACCCGGGUAGUC
RNAcentral lists this ribosomal RNA (450 nucleotides) under uncultured bacterium. Its description in RNAcentral is "partial 16S ribosomal RNA". It matches the Rfam family "Bacterial small subunit ribosomal RNA", at positions 338 to 795 of the family's 1533-position model. The record is from RNAcentral.